CCUACGGGAGGCAGCAGUGGGGAAUUUUGGACAAUGGGCGAAAGCCUGAUCCAGCAAUGCCGCGUGUGGGAAGAAGGCCUUCGGGUUGUAAACCACUUUUGUACGGAACGAAACGGCUCGCUUUAAUACAGUGGGCUAAUGACGGUACCGUAAGAAUAAGCACCGGCUAACUACGUGCCAGCAGCCGCGGUAAUACGUAGGGUGCGAGCGUUAAUCGGAAUUACUGGGCGUAAAGCGUGCGCAGGCGGUUAUAUAAGACAGUUGUGAAAUCCCCGGGCUCAACCUGGGAAUUGCAUCUGUGACUGUAUAGCUAGAGUACGGUAGAGGGGGAUGGAAUUCCGCGUGUAGCAGUGAAAUGCGUAGAUAUGCGGAGGGACACCGAUGGCGAAGGCAAUCCCCUGGACCUGUACUGACGCUCAUGCACGAAAGCGUGGGGAGCAAGCAGGAUUAGAUACCCUGGUAGUCCACGCCCUAAACGAUGUCAACUGGUUGUUGGGUGCAUUAGUACUCAGUAACGAAGCUAACGCGUGAAGUUGACAGCCUGGGGAGUACGGCGCAAGUUGAAACUCAAAGGAUUGACGG
This 582-nucleotide ribosomal RNA is filed under the name uncultured bacterium. RNAcentral describes it as "bacterial SSU rRNA". It matches the Rfam family "Bacterial small subunit ribosomal RNA", at positions 338 to 916 of the family's 1533-position model. The record is from RNAcentral.